Molecule: long non-coding RNA, 257 nt
Filed under: Elaeis guineensis (African oil palm)
Lineage: Eukaryota; Viridiplantae; Streptophyta; Magnoliopsida; Arecales; Arecaceae
Description: long non-coding RNA (EGUI_LNC067592)
Source: RNAcentral
CUUCAAAGUCCCAGUCCCAAGGGACUCCUCACCAGAGUCAUAAUCCAAUUGGACUCUUUAGCCAUCAUAUUUGACCAAAUCUUCUAAUGUGUAUGACCCCAUAGGUUUGAACUUAAGUCAGUAUCAUAGGAAUAACUUCUUAUACUAAUUGAUGUAACCAUCUAACAAUGAGACCCGACAUCCAGAUAGAUCGAAAGAUUGCAAAGCAACAUUCUAGAACCUACUAGCGUAUGGUUACCGUAUAAUUCAUCUUUUUG